This 614-nucleotide long non-coding RNA is filed under the name Calidris pugnax (ruff). Its description in RNAcentral is "lncRNA (ENSCPUG00000017138.1)". Lineage: Eukaryota; Metazoa; Chordata; Aves; Charadriiformes; Scolopacidae. The record is from RNAcentral.
GGGGGUGGAGGGAACACAAAGCCCGCUGCGCCCGAGGGGAAAAUAGCAACAAGAUUACGGCUGCUUUAUUCUGGCGAGGAGGCGUAAGAAGGUGCUAAUCCAAGGGAUGGCUAAUUGAGAGCUUGUAAAUAUGAUAUUUGCCUGCGAUUUGGGACAAAGUGGUUUCUCUCUUUCCUCCCUUUUCACGCCCCGUGGACGAGAGUGAACAAAAAAAAAAAAAANNNNNNNNNNNNNNNAAAAAAAAAAAAAAAAAAUCGCUUAUUUGCUAGAGAGGGAGUGCAACAGGAAAAAAAAAACCCACACAACAACAAAAAACAAGCAAGAAAAAAAAAAAAGAAGCGAAUCCCACGGACACGACUGACUUCACUCCAGAAAAAGGACUAGAUCCCAGCUUUUUAAAUCCCUUUGGAGCCUCCGAGAUUUGUGCGAGCUUACAAACCGCAGCCUCUUUCUCUCGCCCGCAGGAUGCGUGGGGCGGGACGCCCGGGCUCGGCCACCGGCAACUAGGAGAGGACUCGCCCGGGAAGGGGGACAGCAGCGGGACACCGGAAUUCAAGAUCACACAACCAGCAGCUUCAGUGGAGAAAAACUAUUUUGCUGGCAACUCUUUUUAA